This is a long non-coding RNA of Numida meleagris (helmeted guineafowl), 2557 nucleotides long. RefSeq lists it as uncharacterized. NCBI's taxonomy places the organism in Eukaryota, Metazoa, Chordata, Aves, Galliformes, Numididae. The transcript has 3 exons. The record is from RefSeq and is a predicted model, not a curated record.
AUAAAGGGACAGUGACAGCUGCAAAACCCCAACCUGAAUCUCCUUUCCUGCACAAAGUUCAUGGCUCCAGAAUAGCAGCGAUGGCACCAGUUCUUGCCGUAAAAGAGCAGCUCGCCGUCCCUGCAUUUCCCCAAGUCAGCAUCCUGGAGGUCACAGCAGCGAGCGGCUGGAGGCGUGCUGGUGCCAAGCCAUCAGGCUGCGGGAGCAGGCACAGCCCGCGGGCUGCUGCGGGAAAGCAGCCACCUCCCCUGAGCUUUCACUACCAAUGACUUUAGAAACAAGUUUUAAAAGACCUCUCAGCCCUUCCUUCCCUUCCAAAGAUCCCUAUGUGUUUCACAACCUCUUUUCCGCCCAUAGCUGCAUUUUGAAGAGCAGGAAACUCAGGGACAUCUCUUUGCUCCUCUCCUUCCUGACCUCCUUGCUGCACAGGCGAGGACGUGGGGCAGCGGGAGCCAUGAUGGUGUGCCACCACCUCUCUUUCAAAGCCUCCCUUUGGUCCAGCCCACACUGGCAUCUCCACCCUUUGCUUGAGGUGAGGAUGCUGCUGCAGGUGGCCCAGGGUUGUGGUGCAGACCUGGUCCCCUCCUGCUGGCUCCCAGGCUCUUCUUAUCCAUGCUCUGGGCUGGCAGCAGUGCCCCCCUGCUCCCUUUCUGCUUACCCGAGCUGGCGUUGGGGAGAGAUAGAACACAGCGGAAAGCUGCUAAUGACUGCCAUCCAAAGGAAGGAUUAUGAUCGCUUUCCCCUGAAUUGUUUGCUCUCACUGUAAUUGAUGAGCCUUUAAUGAGUCUCAAGGGAUGAUGUGUUUGAAGGGAGCUCUUUCCUCUCCAUCCCGGAGGAAAACGGUGUUUCAACUGAUCUCAGCUCUUGGGGAAACAUGAAUAACUCUUCCCCUUUCUCUAUUGUCAUCCCCAGCCAUGCUCACAGCACGCUCCAGCAGCUGCCUGGCCGCAGCUCACCCACUUUUUACCUGCUCCUUUGUGACUGUUUUGGCAGCUCAGCAAAAGCAUGGAGCAGAUCUGUUGGGCAAAGCAUGAUGAGCGCUCAGCUUGGAUUGUUUCUGGCCCAUCUGUGCGUGCAGAAGCAAGGAAAAAUAGCUCCUAAUGGCCAGACCAUGUAAGAGGUGCUGUCUCUUGCUGAGGAUCUCUUGGGCAGAGGGGGGCCAAAGGGGCCAUGCAAACACAGAAUGGGGCUCAUUCAUCUAGGAGCAGAGCAGGGAGAGUAACUGAGCUGUGGCUGAGGCUGAAUAGGGAGGAAGAGCCAUCUUAAUGCUCUGCUUCUUUCAGUGCAAAGCAGGGAGAGAGGCUUUUGGGUUUUGCUGCUUUCUGAAGAGCCAAAAAAUGAACAAGAAAAAGAAAAAAGCCCUGGGUUAGGUCAGAGGGACGUGCUGUGAGUGGCUCUUUUUCCUUGCGGGUUUUUGCUUCUGGUUGUGUGGUGGGGACUGAUGAGUCCUCCCGGCGGGGAGGAGGCCCACUUGCUGCCCUUUGAAAUGAUUUGAGGUUUGGGUUGCAAAGAGGAGACAUUUUAAAAGACGCCAAAAUGGAGAGGAUGCUAGCUGGCUGUUCCCAUUCAAGAGGCUAUUUGUUUGAAAUAAGUUGACACUCACCAGCUGUCAAGAUCCUGCUGACUGGUGGAGCAUUGUUUACAUUCAAAGCUGUCUUAAAAAGCAAACACAAAACCAAGUUUCCCCAUUAGGGGGUCAGGCAGCAGAAGGGAGGAAGGGUGAGGAGGACAUCGCAGGGAUACAUGACCGUAAAUAUUUGCAGAGUAAUGUGUGUAAAUGCUCUUGCUCUUUCUCCUGGAAUGCAAUAACGCCUGCAAUUGAGUUCAUUGGCCAAAUUGGAUUUGGGCUCCUGUAGAAGUCUCUUUAUAUUAAGUGCUUUAACAUACAUCACCUUCUCAGUCUAUUGAUGAAAUUCUAUUAUCUACUCAGAGCCGGACACAACUCAGCAACAAAACCUGGGUGGAAAUAAAAACCUUCACAAAACCAAGCAAGGAACAGGUAAUGGGACCUGGGGCAUCUGGCUAUUGACAAAGAGUCAGCAUGCCUAUGUGCAGGGGGAGGUUUGUCCCUAACUGCCUGCCUCCCUCCCAGCAAGCUUCCGUGGGAGUAAAGCCCUUUAUGAGACUCUAGGAAAGCAAAGCAAACAGUUGCUGCGCCUUAACUUAAUUUAACUAUAUGACCAAGAGCAAGGUUUUGCUUGAACUGAAGCUAAUUCCAGCCUGGGUGAGUGCCAGGGAAAUUCAUCCUUCCAGCUCUCAGGGCUGCCUGGCGCGGAGGCGAGGACGGAAUGAGGACCGCAUGGCACCGCUGGCGCAGGCUUGGCCGUCCUUGACACCAGGAUGCUGUUACCUCUGGGGACCCGGUGCCUGGCUGCUAGGUUCUGUGGGGAUGGAGCAGGGGCAGCAUGGACUAUGCUCACCAGGGUUUUUGUGGUCUUCCCAAAGGUGCUGAGUGUGGCUGGGGCUGUCUGUGAGCUGCUGGGUCAGUUCUUGGGGGAACAUAGAAUCACAGAAUCAUGAAGGUCGGGAAAGACUUCUCGGAUCUCCAAGUCCAACC